This 1668-nucleotide unclassified non-coding RNA is filed under the name Hevea brasiliensis (rubber tree). The record is from RNAcentral. Lineage: Eukaryota; Viridiplantae; Streptophyta; Magnoliopsida; Malpighiales; Euphorbiaceae.
GGAAAAAGAAAUCACUGUAGUUAUUUAAUUCAUCACAUCAAGACGUUAAAAUAAGUUUUCCAUAGUGACCAUGAAGUAAGCUCAUCACUAUAGAAAGAUGCUCAAUAUUUCUCCCACAACAGGAAUAGCUUACAAAGAAGGAAUGUUCAUACAUGAACAUUUCACAGAGUCUAUCUACGUCUUUGAAAAACAAAUAAAGAACCUCUAGAGCCUUUUCCUAACCUAAUCUUCUCGUCGAUGUAUGUUAUCUGCAGCUUAACCUCACUUUGACCGCCAUACUGAAACUCUAGUGCUCCAACCUUCAGUUGAGGUGCCUCAAAUAUAACUUGGAUCCAACUCUCAUUCAAAACCUUCAACUUACCUAGAUAUUGAGAAAGUAAGGGUAAUUCAACAUCCAAUGCAUUUAAGAAAGGAAGCUAAAGUUGGGCUACAUGCCAAUGCCAAAAUUGAAGGAUCAACUUAAAUUGUAACCUAGGAGCGGUAGUGGAUCCAGAAAUUCUUUUCAGUUAAGUCAAUUUGAGUCUGGUGAAACAGGGAUAUGAAUCAAAAGCAACAAAGCAUAAUGGGUAGCAUUUGUGAACAACACAUUUUUCUCCCCAUAUUAGCUAAUGGAGAGAACUCAUGAGGAUCCACUGAACGGAUCAUUUCUAUUUGCUAACCGCACACACUACAGUGGAACUUCUGUGCUGAAAAAUCCCAACUCAAAUUUAUAUCGUUGCAAGAACAGAAAACCGCAUCCUAUGACUUAAGAAUGUAGGAGGCACAUGCACAAAGAAUGUGGGCAAUAGGGGCAGGGGAGAUCGAAAGCUGGGUUACUGGAACCACAGCCUAGGAGGCAUAAAAAUUGAUGGAAAUGGAUGUUCUAGAAUCUUAACUAUCAAUUCACAACAACACUAAUGCAUCUAAGCUCAUCCUACAAAUCUUGAGCACAUAACUCAAGAAUCAUGUAUUAGGAACUUUGCUGUUCCAUUUAUUCAUAGAAUAAUAAUAAAAAAAUAAUGCAGAUUGGCCUACCUUUGAGAGAGACCUCUCCAUCAAGGAAACCCAAAAGAGAAAAGGACACCUUAUUCCUUAUAGUGUCAGGAGCUUCAACCGCCUGAAUCAUUUCCUUGGUUCUAAAUACAAGACGGCCCAAUGCACUCCUAUACCCACCCCCAGGUGAAGUUGGUCUCGAACAGUACACCACAUCCCACUCUGCUAAUAACUCCAUUGAUCAAACUCGUAACGUAAUUAACGAUUACGAUAAUUACAAUUACCAAUAACAUUAUUUGGAAUUUACCUCCAAAGAUAAGAGGACAUCUCACCGGUUCAGCCACACAAUAAUUCUGCAAUUGCUGAGCAACUGCAGAUACCUCUUCGUGCUCUUCUUUAGUCAGCGAAACUCCUCCAUCUGUUUGCGUUACCUUGGACAGAAUAGAAUCAACAAGAUCAUCGGGUCGCCCGGUUUGAACUUCCGGACUAGAGAUCGAAACCGAACACACGAUUCGCGGAGUUCUGUUCUGUCUAUAUUGAGAUGGCGAUGAAAAGGCAAUUGGAAAGUUUAGGGGUUUCGAUAGAGAGAUUAGGGGUCUGGGAUUGCAUAAUUCGGGGCCUCUGAAUGCAGGUAACAGAGCAAAGGAAGAAGAAGCAGCAGCAGCCAUUGGAGCUGCAGAAGAAGGUGCUGGAGAU